GUUUUGAUAUAAUGACCUUCGACAUUUGCCUUUGUCACCCAGACGAUAACGGUGUACGUCAACUACCACUGAUAUUGUUAGAGUAGGUAAUAGAGGCUAUCGCUAUCACGAAUUGGUAUAUCAGAUGGUUGGAGAUGUUGUUGAUAUAGGGAUGCAUUCUGUUGGACCAUAUGAUCCAGAGAUAGUGUUGGACAUUUAUAUAAAUUAUGCCAAACUUUUUCAAAAUUUAUAUGAGGAAAUGAGUCAUGGGAUGGUUUACGAACACCAACAUGGUGGAUUUCGGUUUUAUCUUAAUUUAGUUGAGAGCUAUAUACAGAGCCAACAUUUAUACGUAAGGAAUAAAGAAUCGUGGACAACCUUGACGGAUCGAACGAUUAUUUUUGAUAUUUUGAGAGAAGGAUCCAUUUACUUGAACUUUACUUUUCAAAUUUUUAAACAGUAUUGUAACCCAAUUUACAAUGUCAUUUGGAAAAUUCAUAUGUUUUAGUAGGGUUUUUAUAUAAUUGUGUUCAAUACGGUCAAAGGCUUUUUUCCUAAUCAAACGAUAAGAUAUAGGCAUUAGUUUCAUGUGUGUCUAAAUAAUUUAGGAUUGAAUCAAUUAAAUACAGGUUAUCGAAGGUGCUUUUAUUUGGUCCGGCUCCCGUUUGUGUUUUAGAGAUCAAUUUGUUAAUAACUGUGUUCAUUCAUAUACUUAAUAUUUUUGUGAUGAUUUUAUAGUCGACACAUAACAGGCUUAUUGGUCUAUAGUUCUUAAAUAAUCGGUGGUCGCCUCUAUUCUUAUAGACAAACAAUUUAUUCUUAUAAUUAAUUAUUAUUAUACCGGUUCUCAUUGGGUUAGAUAAUUCACCCUGUAGAUAGAUGUUGUUUAUUACUUCUGUCAGGUCGGUUCCUAUUGUGUCAAAGAAUUUGAUAUAGAAAUCUCCUGGAAUACCGUCGAUGCCUGGGCUACGGUUUGAUCUGAAACUUUGUAACGCCUUCAGAUCUUCAUCUUUAGAUAUGAAAUGAGACAGGGAAUCUCUUUCCGUGUUAGUUAGGGUAUUUAUGUUACUGUUUUCAAUAUAGGAGUUUAUUAGGUUUUCGACAAUGUUUUGGGUAGUAUAUAGUUGUUGGUAAUAUUGGUGAAUUGUGUCUAGAAUAUCUUGUUCAUUAUCAAAUACUGUAUUAUUUUGAUUGAUUAAUUGUUUAAUUUGCUUUUUAGCACUGUUUUUGACCUCAGCUAAUUUAUAUAUUUUAGAAUAUCGUAACCUUGUAUUGUAUUUUGUUCUAUUAUUUCGAUUUUUGUUUGAAUUUCAUGCAUUGAGUUAGUAUUCAUAGGUAGUAUGGAAGUAGAUCAACUUAUAGUGUGAUAUAUAUUGAGACUAUAUUUAUGUUAUAUAUAUGAAUGCAUAUCUAGCACUAUGCAUAUCUAGCGGUGUAUUAUGAAUGUAUGUUAUAUUAAAGGACGACGGAUAUUGUUAGUGUUGGUGACACGGGCUACUCCUAGAUCUAUCUUUAUAAUAGUAUU
Long non-coding RNA from Patella vulgata (common limpet), 1504 nucleotides. RefSeq lists it as uncharacterized. The record is from RefSeq and is a predicted model, not a curated record. The transcript has 4 exons. Lineage: Eukaryota; Metazoa; Mollusca; Gastropoda; Patellidae.